RNAcentral lists this unclassified non-coding RNA (357 nucleotides) under fungal sp. RNAcentral's name for it is "partial internal transcribed spacer region". The stretch from base 1 to 46 matches the Rfam family "Eukaryotic small subunit ribosomal RNA", at positions 1786 to 1831 of the family's 1831-position model. Lineage: Eukaryota; Fungi. The record is from RNAcentral.
AAGUCGUAACAAGGUAACCGUAGGUGAACCUGCGGUUGGAUCAUUAAUAUAUUUUCUUAUUUUUCCUUGUACUGAUUGCUGUAAUAGGCUUAAGGUCAAGGAAGAAUUAACCCCAAUUGUGAACCAUUUAUUGUAUUUUUGGGUAAGGUGGUUAACCAAAUUAAAUUUUGGUUAGCUAUUAAAAUUUUUAUAAAGUUAAAAAUCAAGGCUAGCCUCAAUUUUAACUUUUUAAAGACCUUACCCAACUUAAUUUAAGCACUAGUAGUUAAACUUGUCUUUAAAACAACUUUUUUUUUAAAGUUAUUAUUAUUAUAAUGAAAAAAAAAACAACUUUUGACAACGGAUCUCUAGGCUCUC